GAUGAACGCUGGCGGCGUGCCUAAUACAUGCAAGUCGAGCGAACAGACGAGGAGCUUGCUCCUCUGACGUUAGCGGCGGACGGGUGAGUAACACGUGGAUAACCUACCUAUAAGACUGGGAUAACUUCGGGAAACCGGAGCUAAUACCGGAUAAUAUAUUGAACCGCAUGGUUCAAUAGUGAAAUACGGUUUUGCUGUCACUUAUAGAUGGAUCCGCGCCGCAUUAGCUAGUUGGUAAGGUAACGGCUUACCAAGGCAACGAUGCGUAGCCGACCUGAGAGGGUGAUCGGCCACACUGGAACUGAGACACGGUCCAGACUCCUACGGGAGGCAGCAGUAGGGAAUCUUCCGCAAUGGGCGAAAGCCUGACGGAGCAACGCCGCGUGAGUGAUGAAGGUCUUCGGAUCGUAAAACUCUGUUAUUGGGGAAGAACAAAUGUGUAAGUAACUAUGCACGUCUUGACGGUACCUAAUCAGAAAGCCACGGCUAACUACGU
Molecule: ribosomal RNA, 496 nt
Filed under: uncultured bacterium
Lineage: Bacteria
Description: partial 16S ribosomal RNA
Rfam family: Bacterial small subunit ribosomal RNA
Source: RNAcentral